AUUGAACGCUGGCGGCAGGCCUAACACAUGCAAGUCGAGCGGAUGAAGGGAGCUUGCUCCUGGAUUCAGCGGCGGACGGGUGAGUAAUGCCUAGGAAUCUGCCUGGUAGUGGGGGAUAACGUCAGGAAACGGGCGCUAAUACCGCAUACGUUCUGAGGGAGAAAGUGGGGGAUCUUCGGACCUCACGCUAUCAGAUGAGCCUAGGUCGGAUUAGCUAGUUGGUGGGGUAAAGGCCUACCAAGGCGACGAUCCGUAACUGGUCUGAGAGGGUGAUCAGUCACACUGGAACUGAGACACGGUCCAGACUCCUACGGGAGGCAGCAGUAGGGAAUAUUGGACAAUGGGCGAAAGCCUGAUCCAGCCAUGCCGCGUGUGUGAAGAAGGUCUUCGGAUUGUAAAGCUCUUUAAGUUGGGAGGAAGAGCAGUAAGUGAAUACCUUGCUGUUUUGACGUUACCAACAGAAUAAGCACCGGCUAACUUCGUG
RNAcentral lists this ribosomal RNA (484 nucleotides) under uncultured bacterium. Its description in RNAcentral is "partial 16S ribosomal RNA". It matches the Rfam family "Bacterial small subunit ribosomal RNA", at positions 30 to 507 of the family's 1533-position model. The record is from RNAcentral.